GAUGAACGCUGGCGGCGUGCCUAAUACAUGCAAGUCGAGCGAACAGACGAGGAGCUUGCUCCUCUGACGUUAGCGGCGGACGGGUGAGUAACACGUGGAUAGCCUACCUAUAAGACUGGGAUAACUUCGGGAAACCGGAGCUAAUACCGGAUAAUAUAUUGAACCGCAUGGUUCAAUAGUGAAAGACGGUUUUGCUGUCACUUAUAGAUGGAUCCGCGCCGCAUUAGCUAGUUGGUAAGGCAACGGCUUACCAAGGCAACGAUGCGUAGCCGACCUGAGAGGGUGAUCGGCCACACUGGAACUGAGACACGGUCCAGACUCCUACGGGAGGCAGCAGUAGGGAAUCUUCCGCAAUGGGCGAAAGCCUGACGGAGCAACGCCGCGUGAGUGAUGAAGGUCUUCGGAUCGUAAAACUCUGUUAUUAGGGAAGAACAAAUGUGUAAGUAACUAUGCACGUCUUGACGGUACCUAAUCAGAAAGCCACGGCUAACUACGUG
RNAcentral lists this ribosomal RNA (497 nucleotides) under uncultured bacterium. RNAcentral describes it as "partial 16S ribosomal RNA". It matches the Rfam family "Bacterial small subunit ribosomal RNA", at positions 28 to 507 of the family's 1533-position model. The record is from RNAcentral.